Molecule: ribosomal RNA, 243 nt
Filed under: uncultured bacterium
Lineage: Bacteria
Description: partial small subunit ribosomal RNA
Rfam family: Bacterial small subunit ribosomal RNA
Source: RNAcentral
AGAAUCAACGCUGGCGGCGUGCCUAACACAUGCAAGUCGAUCGAGAAAGUGGAGCAAUCCAUGAGUAAAGAGGCGCACGGGUGAGUAACACGUGACUAACCUACCCUCGAGUGGGGAAUAACCUGGGGAAACCCGGCUAAUACCGCAUAAUACCCACGGGUCAAAGGAGCAAUUCGCUUGAGGAGGGGUCGCGGCAGAUUAGUUAGUUGGCGGGGUAAUGGCCCACCAAGACGAUGAUCUGUA